UACGUAGGGUGCAAGCGUUGUCCGGAAUUAUUGGGCGUAAAGAGCUCGUAGGCGGUUCGUCACGUCGGCUGUGAAAUCCCGAGGCUCAACCUCGGGUCUGCAGUCGAUACGGGCGGACUUGAGUACUGCAGGGGAGACUGGAAUUCCUGGUGUAGCGGUGAAAUGCGCAGAUAUCAGGAGGAACACCGGUGGCGAAGGCGGGUCUCUGGACCGUAACUGACGCUGAGGCGCGAAAGCGUGGGGAGCAAACAGG
This 253-nucleotide ribosomal RNA is filed under the name uncultured bacterium. RNAcentral describes it as "partial 16S ribosomal RNA". It matches the Rfam family "Bacterial small subunit ribosomal RNA", at positions 524 to 776 of the family's 1533-position model. The record is from RNAcentral.